This is a long non-coding RNA of Ostrea edulis (European flat oyster), 1412 nucleotides long. RefSeq lists it as uncharacterized. Lineage: Eukaryota; Metazoa; Mollusca; Bivalvia; Ostreida; Ostreidae. The transcript is spliced from 2 exons. The record is from RefSeq and is a predicted model, not a curated record.
AAUACAACCUCGCAUUGGGUCAAAUGCUGUCUGACGUGUUUCAUACCGAUUGUUAAGCCGUUCUUGGCACACUGAUUUUGACUGCGGAUAACUCCGUUUACCUGAUCAGGAUAUGGGGCUCACGGCGGGUGUGACCGGUCAACAGGGGAUGCUUACUCCUCCUAGGCACCUGAUCCCACCUCUGGUGUGUCCAGGGGUCCGUGUUUGCCCAACUAUCUAUUUUGUAUUGCUUGUAGGAGUUAUGAGAUUGAUCACUGUUCGUUAUCUUCACCUUGCAUCUAGGUCAGAGCACAGAUGCAUACUGGGAAAUAAUGGAUGACCUCCAUAAAUUUUUAACUUAGAGUGUUCAAUUGAUCAAAUCUCGUAAUAGAAACAAGCAAAUUAGAUUUAGGCCACACUAUUCAGUUUCAGAAGGUCUUUUAAGUUUAUUAUGCAACAAAUAUUUUUUUCAUGUUCACUUCCUUUAAUAUUUUGUAACAUAUCCUUUCGUUCAAAAUGUGUUUACCAUUCGUCGUGGUACAUAUAGCGAGUUGAAUGGGUUUUAAAUGCAGUUGAUUGUUAUGUUCUUGCAGCGGCGUUAUUUAUUUCACGUGUUCGUUUUAUUAAUCUGAGUUUUAGUGGUAAUCAAUAAUUCUCCAUUUUAAUCGCAUCUGGUGACUGUGCUGGCCAUAAAAUUCCACGAAUGUUGUUUUCUGUUUUAAGCUGCUGAACGAUAUGUGUGCUAUGCACGGGGGGCAUUGGCCUCCUGAAAAAUAAAGUCAUUUUGGGGGAAAUUGUAGGCUACAACUGGCCAUAAUUCAUUGUCCGCAAUUUUAACAUACUUCUGAGCAUUUAUAUUUCCAUUUACCACUGUCAACGACCCUGGAGCAUUCCAGUUUAUACACAUCCAGAUAAUGAGGCUACCUUUGGAACUGCGACCGGGGCUAAUGCACUGCAGCAUCCACUCUUCUGGUCUUCGCCACAGAACUCGCCAGUUGGGCAACUGAAAGUCGAUGUACCCGUGCAAAUUUGAACAAGGUACUCGUCCUCCUCAGAAAAAUAAGGAUUACCAUGCCCGCACACUGUUGGAAACACCACGAACUGUACAGGCAUUAGAAAAAUGGGGGAGUCAGUACAGAUACAUUGGUGUUGAAACUUGAAUUCUCAAAAAAAUUGUCCACAAUCCAACUUUUAGAAGAAACUGUGAUAUAAUUCAACUUACUGUUACAUGUAACAUAGAUGGAGUUGCAUUGUUUAAAUCUUCAGGAACUCAAUUCUGGCCAAUUUUAUGCUGUUUCAGCAAGUUUGAACAAUUUCUUGUGGCUCUUUUUUAUGGGAAAACUAAGCCAACAUGUGUUACAGAUUUCUUGUGUGAUUUUCUAGAAGAAAUAGAUUCAUUAAAAGAAAACGGAAUUACAUUUGAUGAUGAAACA